Molecule: ribosomal RNA, 301 nt
Filed under: uncultured bacterium
Lineage: Bacteria
Description: partial 16S ribosomal RNA
Rfam family: Bacterial small subunit ribosomal RNA
Source: RNAcentral
CAGUAGCCGCGGAAUACGAAGGGGGCUAGCGUUGCUCGGAAUUACUGGGCGUAAAGGGAGCGUAGGCGGACAUUUAAGUCAGGGGUGAAAUCCCAGAGCUCAACUCUGGAACUGCCUUUGAUACUGGGUGUCUUGAGUGUGAUAGAGGUAUGUGGAACUCCGAGUGUAGAGGUGAAAUUCGUAGAUAUUCGGAAGAACACCAGUGGCGAAGGCGACAUACUGGAUCAUUACUGACGCUGAGGCUCGAAAGCGUGGGGAGCAAACAGGAUUAGAUACCCCCGUAGUCCCUGUCUCUUAUACA